CUGGCUCAGGAUGAACGCUAGCUACAGGCUUAACACAUGCAAGUCGAGGGGCAGCAUGAGCUUAGCUUGCUAAGCUUGAUGGCGACCGGCGCACGGGUGAGUAACGCGUAUCCAACCUUCCCCUUAGUAGGGCAUAGCCCGGUGAAAAUCGGAUUAAUACCCUAUGUUCUUCACAGCGGACAUCUAACGUGAAGCAAAGGUUCACCGCUAAGGGAUGGGGAUGCGUCUGAUUAGGUAGUCGGCGGGGUAACGGCCCACCGAGCCAUCGAUCAGUAGGGGUUCUGAGAGGAAGGUCCCCCACAUUGGAACUGAGACACGGUCCAAACUCCUACGGGAGGCAGCAGUGAGGAAUAUUGGUCAAUGGGCGCGAGCCUGAACCAGCCAAGUAGCGUGCAGGAUGACGGCCCUAUGGGUUGUAAACUGCUUUUAUGCGGGGAUAAAGUCACCCACGUGUGGGUGUUUGCAGGUACCGCAUGAAUAAGGACCGGCUAAUUCCGUGCCAGCAGCGGC
RNAcentral lists this ribosomal RNA (510 nucleotides) under uncultured bacterium. RNAcentral describes it as "bacterial SSU rRNA". It matches the Rfam family "Bacterial small subunit ribosomal RNA", at positions 19 to 518 of the family's 1533-position model. The record is from RNAcentral.